RNAcentral lists this ribosomal RNA (253 nucleotides) under uncultured bacterium. RNAcentral describes it as "partial 16S ribosomal RNA". It matches the Rfam family "Bacterial small subunit ribosomal RNA", at positions 524 to 776 of the family's 1533-position model. The record is from RNAcentral.
UACGUAGGUGGCAAGCGUUGUCCGGAUUUACUGGGCGUAAAGGAUGCGUAGGCGGAUAUUUAAGUCAGAUGUGAAAAUCCCGGGCUCAACUUGGGAACUGCAUUUGAAACUGGGUAUCUAGAGUGCGGGAGAGGAGAGUGGAAUUCCUAGUGUAGCGGUGAAAUGCGUAGAGAUUAGGAAGAACACCAGUGGCGAAGGCGACUCUCUGGACCGUAACUGACGCUGAGGCAUGAAAGCGUGGGGAGCAAACAGG